RNAcentral lists this ribosomal RNA (799 nucleotides) under uncultured bacterium. Its description in RNAcentral is "bacterial SSU rRNA". It matches the Rfam family "Bacterial small subunit ribosomal RNA", at positions 28 to 853 of the family's 1533-position model. The record is from RNAcentral.
GACGAACGCUGGCGGCGUGCCUAAAACAUGCAAGUCGAACGGGGGAGCAAUCCCCAGUGGCGAACGGCGGAGUAAUACAUGAGGAACGUGCCCUGAAGACCGGGAUAGUCAUUGGAAACGAUGGGUAAUACCGGAUGUGGCGGAAUCUUGGCAUCUUGAUUCCAUUAAACGGUUUUUCGCUUCAGGAGCGCCUCAUGGCCUAUCAGGUAGUUGGUGGGGUAAUGGCCUACCAAGCCGACGACGGGUAGCGGGUCUGAGAGGAUGAUCCGCUCGAGUGGGACUGAGACACGGCCCACACACCUACGGGUGGCAGCAGUUGGGAAUCUUGCACAAUGGGGGGAACCCUGAUGCAGCGACGCCGCGUGGAGGAUGAAGGGUCUAGGCUCGUAAACUCCUUUUUUCGGGAAAGACUUAGGACGGUACCCGAAGAAUAAGCACCGGCUAACUACGUGCCAGCAGCCGCGGUAAGACGUAGGGUGCAAGCGUUGUCCGGAUUUACUGGGCGUAAAGAGCGCGUAGGCGGCUCGUUAAGUGUGAAGUGAAAUCUCUGGGCUCACCCCAGAAACUGCUUUACAUACUGGCGAGCUUGAGGAUUGGAGAGGUUUGUGGAAUUCCUGGUGUAGCGGUGAAAUGCGUUGAUAUCAGGAGGAACACCCAUGGCGAAGGCAGCAAACUGGCCAAUUCCUGACGCUGAGGCGCGAAAGCGUGGGUAGCAAACAGGAUUAGAUACCCUGGUAGUCCACGCCCUAAACGAUGGAUUCUAGGCGUCGGGGGUAUCGACCCCCCCGGUGCCGCAGCU